Molecule: long non-coding RNA, 413 nt
Filed under: Mytilus galloprovincialis (Mediterranean mussel)
Lineage: Eukaryota; Metazoa; Mollusca; Bivalvia; Mytilida; Mytilidae
Source: RNAcentral
CAAUAUUAUAGCAUUUAAGUUUCUGGAAAAGGUUUUAUGACGGAUAUGAUGGCAGAUAUUGUAAAUGUAAGGUAAAUGUAAACGAGAGAUACAAUUUAUGUCAACAACACACUCGUGCACAAACACUGUCUAUAUUGAUAUCCUCAAUGAAUUGGAUUGUUAUCGAUGGAGAAGUACCCACAGCCCUCAAACAAUGUCAAAAACAAGCAAAAAACACUUGUAUGGCUGUUGUGAAUCUUAAAUACUAAUCCAUGAAAUCAUUUAACGAGGACUACUAAUUCAUAGCACCUUAUAAUCGGGACAGGUUUUAUGUCUAUCAUUAUUAUAAAACAAAAUACUCAAAAUUACUCAACAAACAGAAAGCGACAAAAAAAAAAGAUUUGAAAAUGCAAGCAAUUGCAGUAAGAUGCCAG